Molecule: ribosomal RNA, 462 nt
Filed under: uncultured bacterium
Lineage: Bacteria
Description: partial 16S ribosomal RNA
Rfam family: Bacterial small subunit ribosomal RNA
Source: RNAcentral
GACGAACGCUGGCGGCGUGCUUAACACAUGCAAGUCGAACGGAAAGGCCCUUCGGGGUACUCGAGUGGCGAACGGGUGCGUAACACGUGGGUGAUCUGCCCUGCACUUUGGGAUAAGCCUGGGCAACUGGGUCUAAUACCGAAUAGGACCACGCGCUUCAUGGUGUGUGGUGGAAAGCUUUUGCGGUGUGGGAUGGGCUCGCGGCCUAUCAGCUUGUUGGUGGGGUAAUGGCAUACCGAGGCGACGACGGGUAGCCGGCCUGAGAGGGGGACCGGCCACACUGGGACUGAGAUACGGCCCAGACGCCUACGGGAGGCAGCAGUGGGGAAUAUGGCACAAUGAGCGCAAGCCUGAUGCGGCGACGCCGCGUGAGGGAUGACGGCCUGCGGGUUGUAAACCUCUUUCAAUAGGGACGAAGCGCAAGUGACGGUACCGAAAGAAGAAGCACCGGCCAACUACGUG